CUUGCAGACAAGCACUCCUGGUUUUGUGUCAAAGACGGAGUCAAGAGCCCUCUCUUAAUCCCGAGCAAGGACCACGAGUGAUUGAAAAGUGAAAGGAAGCCCUUAUUGGUCCUCGAGCUGGAUAGUGUUUUCUUUGUCCUGCACUAUAUACGAUGUGCAUCUUUAGACAUAAACAAAUGGAGGGGGGAGGGAGAAUGAGCUGCAGAUUGGAAUUGGAUUGGGAGAGCUCCCUGUAGGAGCUGCGACAGACGGACAGGGGCCAGGUGAGGGAGGGGGAUUUCCAGUGUGAGGAGUCGCACCUCUCCUCUGCCGAUGCAACAGGGGCCUGCUUAAUGAGGGCACCUACGGGGCCCCUCCUGGAUAAAGAAGUGGCCUAACCUCGCCACGGCCCCAGACGGAACUGGAGCACCUGCGUGCCUGUGGUCCCCCUCCUGGUUUCCUCCUGUCACCGCCCUCUUCGUCAAGAGCUCAUGCCUCCAACUUCUACCUGUGACAAAGUCUAACGCUGCAUAUGGUUGUUUUGACAAUCAAAGGAGGAGCUGGGCAGCAUCCCUCCGCCCUCCUCACUGCUCCCACACUCCCAGUGUAAUGAACACAUUGGGACUACUCUUCUCCUCCCUUAAACCUGAGUGGAAUGAAAAAGUGAGUGAAUCUCUUUCUUUAAAUUGUUACACAGAGGAACAUCUCAAAGAAUUGGAUCAUCGUUGAAAGUAUAUUUCAGUAGCUAAAAAGUGAAACUCGCAUAGAUUUGUGAAACACAAAUUGGAACAUUUCAGCUGUACAUUUCUGAA
Molecule: long non-coding RNA, 791 nt
Organism: Gambusia affinis (western mosquitofish)
Lineage: Eukaryota; Metazoa; Chordata; Actinopteri; Cyprinodontiformes; Poeciliidae
Exons: 3
Source: RefSeq, a predicted model, not a curated record